AUGCAAGUCGAACGAGCGAGAGAGAGCUUGCUUUCUCGAGCGAGUGGCGAACGGGUGAGUAACGCGUGAGGAACCUGCCUCAAAGAGGGGGACAACAGUUGGAAACGACUGCUAAUACCGCAUAAGCCCACAGGUCGGCAUCGACCAGAGGGAAAAGGAGCAAUCCGCUUUGAGAUGGCCUCGCGUCCGAUUAGCUAGUUGGUGAGGUAACGGCCCACCAAGGCAACGAUCGGUAGCCGGACUGAGAGGUUGAACGGCCACAUUGGGACUGAGACACGGCCCAGACUCCUACGGGAGGCAGCAGUGGGGAAUAUUGCACAAUGGGGGAAACCCUGAUGCAGCGACGCCGCGUGGAGGAAGAAGGUCUUCGGAUUGUAAACUCCUGUUGUUGAGGAAGAUAAUGACGGUACUCAACAAGGAAGUGACGGCUAACUACGUGCCAGCAGCCGCGGUAAAACGUAGGUCACAAGCGUUGUCCGGAAUUACUGGGUGUAAAGGGAGCGCAGGCGGGAAGACAAGUUGGAAGUGAAAUCUAUGGGCUCAACCCAUAAACUGCUUUCAAAACUGUUUUUCUUGAGUAGUGCAGAGGUAGGCGGAAUUCCCGGUGUAGCGGUGGAAUGCGUAGAUAUCGGGAGGAACACCAGUGGCGAAGGCGGCCUACUGGGCACCAACUGACGCUGAGGCUCGAAAGUGUGGGUAGCAAACAGGAUUAGAUACCCUGGUAGUCCACACCGUAAACGAUGAUUACUAGGUGUUGGAGGAUUGACCCCUUCAGUGCCGCAGUUAACACAAUAAGUAAUCCACCUGGGGAGUACGACCGCAAGGUUGAAACUCAAAGGAAUUGACGGGGG
Molecule: ribosomal RNA, 851 nt
Filed under: uncultured bacterium
Lineage: Bacteria
Description: bacterial SSU rRNA
Rfam family: Bacterial small subunit ribosomal RNA
Source: RNAcentral